UACAGAGGUCUCGAGCGUUAGGCGGAAUCACUGGGCUUAAAGCGUGUGUAGGUGGAUGCCUAAGUACCUUGUGAAAUCCCACGGCUUAACCGUGGAACUGCUUGGUAUACUGGGUAUCUUGAGCCACUUAGGGGCAACCGGAACAAACGGUGGAGCGGUGAAAUGCGUAGAUAUCGUUUGGAACGCCAAUGGUGAAAACAGGUUGCUGGGAGUGUGCUGACGCUGAGACACGAAAGCCAGGGGAGCAAACGGG
Molecule: ribosomal RNA, 253 nt
Filed under: uncultured bacterium
Lineage: Bacteria
Description: partial 16S ribosomal RNA
Rfam family: Bacterial small subunit ribosomal RNA
Source: RNAcentral